Molecule: long non-coding RNA, 1392 nt
Organism: Bos taurus (domestic cattle)
Lineage: Eukaryota; Metazoa; Chordata; Mammalia; Artiodactyla; Bovidae
Source: Ensembl
CCAGGACGCCCGCCGGGCGGAGCGCGUCGCUGCUGUCCCGUGCCGCGCCCCUCUAACCUCUCCGGCAGGUGGACGGCUCCUGCGGCUUUACUGGCGUCUGGCCUGGAGAAGUCCCGGCCGAAAAUAUCUGGAUCGUGAAAGUUAAGGCUGCUGAGUCUACAGCAGCGGCCUCAUCCCUGCCCAAAGGUCAUGGAGGACACUGGGAGGACAUGGAGAAGACUCAGACCAGAUCUGAAGACCCAAGGAAACUAAACCAGAGAAAAACCUGGUUUCCAUUACUGGAAGGGGACUUGAAGAGAUGGUGUAUAGUAAAGAUUGGUUCAAGCAGGAAUCAUCCAUGGAUGGUGGCUCUAGGGGGUUGUGGUUUAUUGUGGGGCAGAUAUUUGCCUGGGUUAGUGUGUCUCUCCAAUAGGUGGUUUAGGCUUAUUAGUAGCAAGAGAAAAGUAUUCAGUAUACAAAGGAGCAGGGAGACAGCACCUUUACCAGGAUCAAAACUGACAUCACCGAUGAAAGCAGACGGAUAACAUGUCUUCAGAACACAUCACCUAGACAGUAUUUCCAGGGAAAAUUCAGAACCUAAAUCUAAUGAUAAUGAAACCCCAGACAAACCAAAAUGAGGAAUAUCUAUUUUAAAAGGAGGCAGGGACUGUAUUCUUCAAACAUGUCAAUGUCGCAAAAGAAAGCUUGGGAAAUGUUCUAGAUUAAAGAGUGCUAAAAAGUCUUGACAACUAAAUGUGAUACCUGGUCCUAGACUGGAUGUUUGGGGAGGGGAGAUGCUAUAAAGAACAUUCCAAUGGACAAAAUUGGAAUCCUGAUAGUAAAGUAUUGGCUCAAUGUUAAAUGUGCUGCUGUUGAUACUUGUAUUAUGGUCGUGUACAAGGAUAUCCCUCUUCUUAGAAAUACACUCUGAAGUAUUUCGUAGGGAAGGCAAUGGCACCCCACUCCAGUACUCUUGCCUGGAAAAUCCCAUGGAUGGUGGAGCCUGGUGGGCUGCAGCCCAUGGGGUUGCACAGAGUCUGACACGACUAAGCGACUUCACUUUCACUUUUCACUUUCAUGCAUUGGAGAAGGAAAUGGCAACCCACUCCAGUGUUCUUGCCUGGAGAAUCCCAGGGACGCGGAAGCCUGGUGGGCUGCUGUCUAUGGGGUUGCACAGAGUCGGACACGACUGAAGUGACUUAGCAGCAGCAGCAGCAGUGGCCUUCAGAGAGUAACGAGUGAUUCAAAUGUUGUGCUCAUGGAAGCAUUGAGAACAAUUUGUGCUGCUGUUGAUUCUCACUUAUUUUGCAUUUUUCUUUAAUAAUGUGCAGUUAAUCUGUAUUUCUUAUGACUGAAUGUGAAUCUACAAUUAUCUCAUUAAAAAUUUCAGUUACAAGGAGUUCCCUGUUGGCC